CACGUGCUUCCCGCUGUUUGGAAGUAUAAGAAAUACGUCAAUACCCUUACAGUUCCCGUCUUCCUCAUCUGGAGAACUUCCGUUACCAUUUCUUCCUCACGACGCUCAUUCCUCUGAUACAUUGGAAUCGUUCAGCCCCUACUUCUAUCAGGUUCUCCGCCUGCUCCCUCCUCCUCCUAACCAGACCGGUUGAAGAGCUAAAGGUCCAUCCCAUCUUCUCGAGAAUCUUACCGUCAUUAUCCGGAGGUAAUUCCACCGAAUAUCGCCGCUUGGGCGUCGCCACUCAUCUGCUGGCUGUGCGCAAAGCCUCUUGCUCCAAACAAUUUCUCCCAUUGUUUGUUCGUUUUUAGGUUUUCUAUCGCCGGAAUCAAAUAAGUGGAGGGCCACUGAAGUAGAUUCACCAGUGCUGAGAAAGAGGUAAUCUUUUGAUCUAUUGAUUUAUCUGUAAACCUAAUUUGAUUCUCGUUGUACUGCCAGUUGCUUUUGCCCUCGGAUUUGUUACGACAUUUCUCUAUUCCCUCAUCUCAAUGGUGCCAAUUAUUGAUUUA
Long non-coding RNA from Dendrobium catenatum, 548 nucleotides. RefSeq lists it as uncharacterized. The record is from RefSeq and is a predicted model, not a curated record. Lineage: Eukaryota; Viridiplantae; Streptophyta; Magnoliopsida; Asparagales; Orchidaceae. The transcript is spliced from 2 exons.